RNAcentral lists this ribosomal RNA (978 nucleotides) under Leptobrachium hendricksoni (spotted litter frog). RNAcentral's name for it is "partial 16S ribosomal RNA". It matches the Rfam family "Bacterial large subunit ribosomal RNA", at positions 936 to 2565 of the family's 2925-position model. Lineage: Eukaryota; Metazoa; Chordata; Amphibia; Anura; Megophryidae. The record is from RNAcentral.
CUAGCAAAGCCAAGUAAAUCUAAUUUUUAAGAAUUAUUCAAUAAAGGUACAGCUUUAUUGAAAAAGGAAACAACCUAAACCUUAGGAUAAUGAAUAUUUUUAAAUAGGUAAAAGGCCAAGUUGGCCUAAAAGCAGCCAUCUUUAAAGAUAGCGUCAAAGCUUCACCUUAAACACACCUUAAAUCUCAUUAUUUUUUCAUAAUCCAACAAUUCUACUAAGCCAUUCUAUACUUUUAUAGAAAAGUUUAUGUUAGGACUAGUAACACAGAAUAAUUUCUCUUACAUGUAAGUUUAAAUCAACCCGAAUACCUCCUUGAUAAUUACUCAAAUUUGAACCUUAAGUAGUACCUAUUAAUUACAAAAACCCUACUUAACUUAUUGUUAAUCAAACAUAUGGAUAUGAAAGAAAGAUUAAAAAAUUAAGAAGGAACUCGGCAAACACAAGUCCCGCCUGUUUACCAAAAACAUCGCCUUUUGAAAAGUAUAAAAGGUAACGCCUGCCCACUGACAGUAUGUUUAACGGCCGCGGUAUUCUGACCGUGCGAAGGUAGCGUAAUCACUUGUCUUUUAAAUGAAGACUCGUAUGAAAGGCAUCACGAGAACUUAGCUGUCUCCUUAAUUCAAUCAGUGAAACUGAUACCCCUGUAAAAAAGCAGGGAUGAUUACAUAAGACGAGAAGACCCUGUGGAGCUUAAAACAUAAGCUACUUCUAUACUCUACUAACUUAUAGUACUAAAAUACAAACCUAGCCUAAGUUUUCUGUUGGGGCGGCUGUGGAGAAAAACUUAUCCUCCAUGAAGAAAAAACUUUGAUCUACCGCUCUUAGUAUUAGCAAGCCUAACUUAAAUUGAUCCAAUUUUUGAUCAACGGACCAAGUUACCCCAGGGAUAACAGCGCAAUCCGUUUCAAGAGUCCCUAUCGACAAAUGGGUUUACGACCUCGAUGUUGGAUUAGGACAUCCUAGUGGUGUAGCCGCUAC